GACGUCACGGAUGGGCGGGCGCCAUUUUGAGGCGGUCCCUGAGGCGUGUGGGGUAUCGCGUGUGGUGCAACUAUCGCAGCAGCUGCCCAGGCAAGUAAAUGGAUAUCUUUGUCAGUUCUUACCAUCCUGCAGUGUUAUGGUCACCUUGAUAUUGCAUCGAGCAAAUCAAGUCCUAAACAUUGGUCAACUUUUUACCUGGGUGUGGUGGGGUACAAUAGAGCUACCACUUCCUAGAAUUGAAGGAUGGGGCAGGGCCUCUGGUGCUGAGCCUGAGCCCCCCCCCGUCUCCAAAUACUUGUACAGAAGUGCCUACAGAACUCCUGCUCUAGGUGACACCACAACCAAAGCCGCAGGGUAUUUCCCAGUGGUGCUUAAUGAACCUGAGUUCCUCAGUAAAUAAUUAAAUCCACAAUAAUAAGACAUGGGAAGAAAAAAAUUAGAGCACCGCCAAUUAUCUUGAGUCCUGCAGGAACAAGCUAUUCAUUAAGAACUCCUAGGAAGCACUGCUGAGGAGGACAGAAAAACUACAAUUAAAAAAAAAAAAGUUAUUUCUGAGCUUGUUUUUCCUUACUUCAGACCUGGCAGUUUCUCCUUGCCCCCAUGAUGUGGAUAUUUCACCAUCACCAGGGCCACCUACAAGCUCAGCUGUCUGUACCUGUGAGCAGAUCUGUAGGGCUUUGAGGAAGUGGGUGCUGCUCCCUCCAGGUUGCCAUAUACACAUCAAAGGGGCCAACUCUGAUCUUUCCAUGUCACUUUUGUAACAAUGUGUUGUCACAAUAUUUAAUUUUAAGCCUCAGCUUUUGUAAUGGAUGUUUUAAAGGACAAUUAAUAUUGUCCAAAAUGUUUGCUUUUAGAAAACUUGGUAGCUCUUUAGGGAGCUUUUUCCUAGUGCCUGAAAGCACAGAAGUGACUCACUAGAACUUUGACUUUUGUUUUGUUGACUGAGUUCUCUGUAUUUCCCCGGCUGCCCCCUAGUUCACUGGCCAGUUUUUGUGGUUUACUGAAAUAUUUUUUCCUCUUUAUAAUGUUCUCUCUGCCUUGGUGCUCUGUGUAGGAGUCAUGCAGACAGAGGUGCUGAUUAAGCAGAGAAAUGCUGAAAAUAAUUCUACAUAAAGCAUUUCAAGAUGUGCAUGAGGACUCUCUUCCCCUCAGUACUGAUUUUGCUAUUAGGUGAGGCUUGUGAUGAAGGAAGCCAGUGAGAAGCACACUCUUGCAAGUAUUAGCAUUCUGUGCUUUUACUGCUUUCUGCUCAGCAGAUGAGCAGACUUUGUAUCCCCUGUGCUCUUGCAUGCAAAAAGAUGCUGUGUUAAACAAG
Molecule: long non-coding RNA, 1315 nt
Organism: Gallus gallus (chicken)
Lineage: Eukaryota; Metazoa; Chordata; Aves; Galliformes; Phasianidae
Exons: 2
Source: RefSeq, a predicted model, not a curated record